RNAcentral lists this transfer RNA (123 nucleotides) under Bradinopyga geminata. Its description in RNAcentral is "partial contains 16S ribosomal RNA and tRNA-Leu". The stretch from base 57 to 122 matches the Rfam family "tRNA". From Rfam's summary of the family: Transfer RNA (tRNA) molecules are approximately 80 nucleotides in length. Their secondary structure includes four short double-helical elements and three loops (D, anti-codon, and T loops). Lineage: Eukaryota; Metazoa; Arthropoda; Insecta; Odonata; Libellulidae. The record is from RNAcentral.
CCUUAGUACGAAAGGACCAGGGUUAUGAAAUAAUUUUUUGUUAUUGAUUAUUAUUAACUAUUUUGGCAGAAAAGUGCCAUGGAUUUAGAAUCCAUAAAUGUGAGAUAAACUCAUAAGUAGUAC